Grammomys surdaster is the source of this 2552-nucleotide RNA transcript. It is a transcript of the gene named FAST kinase domains 3, with no coding region annotated. Lineage: Eukaryota; Metazoa; Chordata; Mammalia; Rodentia; Muridae. The transcript has 7 exons. The record is from RefSeq and is a predicted model, not a curated record.
GGGCGGUGCCUUAGUGCCGCGCACGCGCCGGGGUGUCCCACGGGUAAGGGACAGUGUCCGCGAACGGCGCUCCCGGGACGCGGAAGCUCCGCGUCUGUCCUGUCCCGGGUGCGGCUCUGAGCCGCUCGUCGCGUGUUGUGAAUCCUAUGGCAUGGCGUUCAUCACCCUGAGGAGGGCCUUUUGUCACACGUCUGGUUUUUGGAUACCCGGAGCUGUGGAAAUUCACCCUGCCAAUCACGUCGUCCGAAAGGCAGUCAAAGAUCGCCUCCGUGUUUGGUUCUGUUCCCUACAACCUGAGCUGUCCAGGGUCAGAUUCCAUCACGCGUACUGUAAAAACUUCCACUCAGAAAACGGAAAUGACCUUCAUCCAGUUGGCGAGCCAUGGGUCUCUCAAGCACAGGAAUGGAGCCAGCCGGAACAGAGUCUUAGAAACGAGGAUGAAGAGAUGGUUUUCAGGAGACUGAGCAGCUCUGCCUCCUUUGAGGAAGUGCUGAGUUUCGUAAGUACCCUGGACCCCCUGCCUGUCGCUCUGGCGGCAGCAGCUCUGCUCAGGAUCUGUGAGAUAGGGACCAGGGAUGGUAAGCAAAGGCUGCCAACAGGAGUUCUUGAGAACCCCGUCUUCCAGGCUUUGUGCCUUAGGUGUGAGCGGGACCCCUCACAUCUGACCAGUGCUGGUUUGGUGACGGCUUUGCAGUCUCUGCUUUUGUUGCCGCCUGUAGAUCCUCAGAGUCGCUUGAUGCUGAGUCUCAUGGCAGAAUGCCAACGUCGCCUCCGAAGAGGCGGCCUGGAAGUCCACCAUCUUUGUGUUCUUGGGGAAAGUCUGGCUCGGCUUCAGGGUGCAAGUUGUGAGACCCUGAAGCUGGUUCUCUCCCAUCUGCAGAGUGAAAAUUUGGAAACGUUUGCUCCAGAGGACAUUGUGUCCAUUUAUAGAAUUCUGCAGGCGUGUCCUGAAGAAGUAGACAAACACCAGACGUUUUUAAACACAGUAAACAACUUUUCCCCUUCAAUAGUUCCCUACCUGAGCCCUAAAUCCAUUAGUGAUGUUCUAAGUGCCUUAGUGGCCCUGGACCAGACUCACGCACGACCACUGCUGAUAAAACUGGGCAAGUACGUUGUGAGAUACAUUCCCCGGUUUACUAACGAAGAGCUCAGGAAGGUCUUGGAGGCGUUUGUUUACUUUGGACACAGUGACAAAUUUUUCACAGAGGCCUUAGAGCAGCACGUGGCCGCCCUGUGCCUCGCCCUGGACCCUGCCAUUGCCGUCUCCGUGAUGGAGUACUGCAGCCGAAAGCGGAUCCUUUCCAAGCCCAUCUUCAACGUAGUUGCGGAGAUCUUUGUUUGCCAGUCGGAAAAGUUCUCACCUACUCAGAUCUCUGAACUGAUCGAGCCAUUUGGAAAACUCAAUUAUUUGCCACCCAACGCCCCUGCCCUGUUUAGGAAGGUAGAGAGCGUGCUCUUGGCUCGCUUACGGCACUUCCCACCAAAGACGCUGUUGAGGCUCCUCCACUCCUGUGCGCUGAUUGAACGCCAUCCCGUCAACUUCAUGCCGAAAAUAUUCAGCCCCCUUUUCCUUCAACGGCUGCAAGGUAAAGAGUCAUAUUUGGACAGAUUGAGCCUGGCACAGCUGACCCAACUUUUCCUGACCUCCGUCCUAGAGUGUCCUUUCUAUAAGGGCCCCAGACUUCUCCCUAAAUAUCAAGUGAAGUCAUUCUUCACGCCAUGCUGCUCCCUAGAGACACCCAUGGAUCUCCAUCUCUAUAGGUCUGUGGUGAUCGGACUGAUUGAUCUUCUAGGAUCAAGACUGUAUUUUGCUUCAAAAGUGUUGACGCCCUAUUAUUAUACCAUAGCCUCGGCCCACUGAUAGAGGCAGUGUGGAAGACAUGAACCAGCACAAGGAACACAGGAAGAUAGUGUUGUUGAGGGUAUCACAUGAGGAAUUUUUCCUUUCUCUUGCCAGAUGUUGAGAUUAAAUUAGAUGAAGAUGGAUUUGUGUUGCCGUUUACAGUGGAUGAGGAUAUCCAUAAAAGGGUGGCACUGUGCGUUGAUGGGCCACAGCGAUUUUGCUUGGACAGUAAGCACUUACUUGGAAAAGAGGCCAUUAAACAAAGACACCUGCGGCUACUGGGUUACCAGGUUGUACAGGUUCCCUAUCAUGAGCUAGAGCUGCUUAAGUCAAGACUUGAAUUGGUGGAAUAUUUACAAAGGAAGUUAUUUUCUCAGAGCUCCACUGUCCACUGGUAACACAGGAUGCUGGCUUCAGGAUUCACAGUGAAAUUACAAAGAUCAUAUUUGUAAGAGAGACAGUUUAAUCUGUGAAUUAGUGACUAUAUGGAAAUUAUGUUUACAGACUUGGGAUCUGAAAAGGGUCUGCGGUUUUUCUUAUACUAUGUAUAUGUAUAUUGGUGGUAAAUUUGAAAUUAAUUUAAUACUAGUAUCUUAGAUGCCUUCACUGCAUCUAGCAGGAUCAUUCAAAUGCAAUAAAGCAGUGUAACAAGUAAAUGUUAAUUGUCUUGUUUUUAAGAAUUAUCUGCUAAUAAAAUAUGCUUUUUAGA